GACGAACGCUGGCGGCGUGCUUAACACAUGCAAGUCGAACGGAAAAGCCCUGCUUUUGUGGGGUGCUCGAGUGGCGAACGGGUGAGUAACACGUGAGUAACCUGCCCUUGACUUUGGGAUAACUUCAGGAAACUGGGGCUAAUACCGGAUAGGAGCUCCUGCUGCAUGGUGGGGGUUGGAAAGUUUCGGCGGUUGGGGAUGGACUCGCGGCUUAUCAGCUUGUUGGUGGGGUAGUGGCUUACCAAGGCUUUGACGGGUAGCCGGCCUGAGAGGGUGACCGGCCACAUUGGGACUGAGGUACGGCCCAGACUCCUACGGGAGGCAGCAGUGGGGAAUAUUGCACAAUGGGCGGAAGCCUGAUGCAGCAACGCCGCGUGCGGGAUGACGGCCUUCGGGUUGUAAACCGCUUUCGCCUGUGACGAAGCGUGAGUGACGGUAAUGGGUAAAGAAGCACCGGCUAACUACGUG
RNAcentral lists this ribosomal RNA (468 nucleotides) under uncultured bacterium. RNAcentral describes it as "partial 16S ribosomal RNA". It matches the Rfam family "Bacterial small subunit ribosomal RNA", at positions 28 to 507 of the family's 1533-position model. The record is from RNAcentral.